Molecule: ribosomal RNA, 905 nt
Filed under: Sphaerulina azaleae
Lineage: Eukaryota; Fungi; Ascomycota; Dothideomycetes; Mycosphaerellales; Mycosphaerellaceae
Description: LSU rRNA
Rfam family: Eukaryotic large subunit ribosomal RNA
Source: RNAcentral
UUAAGCAUAUCAAUAAGCGGAGGAAAAGAAACCAACAGGGAUUGCCCUAGUAACGGCGAGUGAAGCGGCAACAGCUCAAAUUUGAAAUCUGGCGCAAGCCCGAGUUGUAAUUUGUAGAGGAUGCUUCUGGGUAGCGACCGGUCUAAGUUCCUUGGAACAGGACGUCAUAGAGGGUGAGAAUCCCGUAUGUGACCGGCCCGCACCCUUUACGUAGCUCCUUCGACGAGUCGAGUUGUUUGGGAAUGCAGCUCUAAAUGGGAGGUAAAUUUCUUCUAAAGCUAAAUACCGGCCAGAGACCGAUAGCGCACAAGUAGAGUGAUCGAAAGAUGAAAAGUACUUUGGAAAGAGAGUUAAAAAGCACGUGAAAUUGUUGAAAGGGAAGCGCCUGCAAUCAGACUUCGCGGCAGUGUUCCGCCGGUCUUCUGACCGGUUUAUUCUCUGUCGCGAGGCCAUCAUCGUCUCGGCCCGCUGGAUAAGACCUUGGGAAUGUAGCUCACCUUCGGGGGAGUGUUAUAGCUCAUGGUGAUGCAGCGAGGCUGGGGCGAGGUCCGCGCUUCGGCAAGGAUGAUGGCGUAAUGGUUGUCGGCGGCCCGUCUUGAAACACGGACCAAGGAGUCUAACAUCUAUGCGAGUGUUCGGGUGUCAAACCCCUACGCGUAAUGAAAGUGAACGGAGGUGGGAACCGCAAGGUGCACCAUCGACCGAUCCUGAUGUCCUCGGAUGGAUUUGAGUAAGAGCAUAGCUGUUGGGACCCGAAAGAUGGUGAACUAUGCCUGAAUAGGGUGAAGCCAGAGGAAACUCUGGUGGAGGCUCGCAGCGGUUCUGACGUGCAAAUCGAUCGUCAAAUUUGGGUAUAGGGGCGAAAGACUAAUCGAACCAUCUAGUAGCUGGUUCCUGCCGAAGUU